UACGUAGGGUGCGAGCGUUAAUCGGAAUUACUGGGCGUAAAGCGUGCGCAGGCGGUGAUGUAAGACAGGUGUGAAAUCCCCGGGCUUAACCUGGGAACUGCAUUUGUGACUGCAUCGCUGGAGUGCGGCAGAGGGGGAUGGAAUUCCGCGUGUAGCAGUGAAAUGCGUAGAUAUGCGGAGGAACACCGAUGGCGAAGGCAAUCCCCGUGGGCCUGCACCUGGACCGCUCAUGCACGAAAGCCGUGGGG
This 248-nucleotide ribosomal RNA is filed under the name uncultured bacterium. Its description in RNAcentral is "partial 16S ribosomal RNA". It matches the Rfam family "Bacterial small subunit ribosomal RNA", at positions 524 to 767 of the family's 1533-position model. The record is from RNAcentral.